CUGGGAUCUGGGGGUACAGCUGUUUGUUCCGGUGACGUUGGCCUUGCCAGGACAGCUGCGUUGUGAAAAUGAAUCUGAUAAUCGGAGCGAAUCAGAGGCCUAGGUUGUGACGGACCGACUGUGUCCUCCCCACCAGAUUCACACGUUGAAGUCCUGAUCCCCAAGGGGACGGUGUUGGGAGGUAUUGACCUCGAUUGAUACUGCUAAAUAACAUACUCUGUCUAGGUCUUCAUUUAGCAGUUUUAUGUACUAUCUACAGACUUUCAGCUAUGACAGGGUGGCUGCAGCAUUUACAUUCUCACCGGCAAUAUAGGAGUGACUAGCUUCUCUGAAUCCUGGCCUGCAGGAAAAAUCUAUCUGGGAUUUUGAAAGGAACUUUGAAUGUUAAACUUGUAUAUCAAUUUGAGGAGGAUUGACACCUUUACUAUGUUGAGUCUUC
This is a long non-coding RNA of Hyaena hyaena (striped hyena), 439 nucleotides long. RefSeq lists it as uncharacterized. The record is from RefSeq and is a predicted model, not a curated record. Lineage: Eukaryota; Metazoa; Chordata; Mammalia; Carnivora; Hyaenidae. The transcript has 4 exons.